This 362-nucleotide transfer RNA is filed under the name uncultured Microcystis sp. RNAcentral's name for it is "partial 16S-23S ribosomal RNA intergenic spacer". The stretch from base 135 to 208 matches the Rfam family "tRNA". The record is from RNAcentral. Lineage: Bacteria; Bacillati; Cyanobacteriota; Cyanophyceae; Chroococcales; Microcystaceae.
AAGGGAGACCUAAUUCAGGUAGGAGACGAAAAAGAAGUAGUCCCAACCAAGAAUCAAUCCCAAAAGGUCGGAGCGAGGCGAAAUUGGCUUUCAAACUAGGUUCUGGGUUCACACAAGACCUGAAUCAGGAACAAGGGCUAUUAGCUCAGGUGGUUAGAGCGCACCCCUGAUAAGGGUGAGGUCCCUGGUUCGAGUCCAGGAUGGCCCACCUGCACAGGUGGCAAAAACAAGAGAAGCGAGGAAUCAGCACCUUAUCUUAUCUAUAUAUAUAUAGGAGAGAAUGCUGGCUCUGAGUAAAGAGUCCAGAGGAACCUUGAAAACUGCAUAGAGCUAGGUGAAAAAGCCAAAAAAGAAGACCGCAA